CGCUGGGUGAGACAGAGCCCUGGACGGCAGCCGGACACAAGGCGGGAACGCCCCGUCCAUCCGUCAUCACUUCCCCUCCACACUUGCGACUUUCCUGCUUCCUGACCUCUGACAAGGAACUGAACUCCAGCCAGGGUGUUACCUGCGGCGUGGGAGCCUGCCCUCCUCCUGACCGGAGCCCCUGCCAGGCGCAGCCCUGCCACCCCUCCCCGGUUCUCACACGGAACCUCUCCUCACACAGGCGGAGGGAAACUCGCAGCCCUGUGGGCCACAGAGCUGGCGGGCGGGAUGGCCGAGACACCAGCUCCCCGCUCAUUCCACACCAUUCAGGGGCCUCCCUGCCCCUCCUGCCUCAGUUUCUCCACCUGUAAGAUGGGCACGUGGGCAGGUGACAUGCGUGCAUGCCCAUGGGCCCAUGUGUGCCGACCUGGAGUUGGGCCUGGGCCCCGAAAGGCCACCAGGGUGGGUUUGUGUGGCGGGUGCUGAGGUCGAGGCACUCAUCAUGCAUCCGUGAGUCACACGUAUUCCUUUCCGGGAGCACCUGAGUUCUGCCCACCACAGCUGCCCCCUCUUCAAGGCCCUGAGCUUCAGCCCGUCUCCAGGGUCUCCCAGGCCCUCUCGUAGGAGGCCGAGCCCUGGUUUGGGCACCCCCACACCUUCCUCCUUGGGGUGGGGAUCCUGGAUGGGCAGCGGCCCUGCCCGCCCUGGCCACUCCAUGAGCACACCACGAAUGAAGCCAUUCCCUGGCCUUAGGCAAGCAGGCCCUGGACCCAAGAGCCUGCACACAGGACGACGCUGCCGGGACGUGAUUGAAUCCAGUCUCCUCCGGGCAACCGUCUUCCUGGGAGGGAACUUACGGCCGGCUGACCAGGACAGAAAAACGGAAACUCCCCCCACAGUGGUCCAGCCAUAGACGCCUCCACCAGGAAGCCCUCUGGGAAGAAGACGGCCUCUGCGUCCCAGCUCUGUCCAGUGGCCUCCAAGGUCCCCACCCAGCAUCAGCCCUGAGCAUGAGCAGGCAUCGUGUGGGGGGUAAGCCGUUGGCAAGGCCACUUGGCUCUACCUUCAAGACAUACCAGAGCCUAACGCGUCCCGCCGCCUGGUCCCCUCCCGCUGGGACCUGCGCCCACCUCCUCACCGGCCCCUCCUCUGCACACAACCUCUGGAAAACCUUAAUCAGGUCAUAUCCCCGUCUUGGCCAGGCCCCCCGGGCUGCCGUCUCACUCCAAUAAAACUCUUUAUAGUAACCCAUGGGCCGGCCUCCUCCCUCUUCCUCAAUCUGCACCAGCCUCGGUCUCUCACUGUUCCUCAGACUUGCCAG
Molecule: long non-coding RNA, 1321 nt
Filed under: Equus caballus (horse)
Lineage: Eukaryota; Metazoa; Chordata; Mammalia; Perissodactyla; Equidae
Description: lncRNA (ENSECAG00000043290.2)
Source: RNAcentral